Molecule: ribosomal RNA, 3660 nt
Filed under: Triticum aestivum (bread wheat)
Lineage: Eukaryota; Viridiplantae; Streptophyta; Magnoliopsida; Poales; Poaceae
Description: partial small subunit ribosomal RNA
Source: RNAcentral
AUGCUCACAGGGAGAGGUCGGGAGAGAGAAGCUCAAUCGACACCGAUGGAGUCCACGGCGGUGAGCAUCGGCAAGUCCGUGCUGAAAGGAGCGCUUGGAUGCGCCAAAUCCGCCAUCAUGGAGGACACGGCCAUGGAGCUCGGAGUCCAACACGACAAGGCCUUCAUCACGGACGAGCUGCAGAUGAUGCAGUCUUUCCUGAUGGUGGCACACGAUGAUGAGCAAGAUGACCACGUCAACAAGGUGGUCACGACCUGGGCGAACCAGGUCCGCGACGUCGCCUACGACGUCGAGGAUGGCCUCAAGGACAUCGUCGUCCGCAUCCACGGGCAAUCCUGCUGGGGAAUCCCUCGCACACUCCUCGACCGGCGCCAUGUCGUCGAGCAGAUGAAGGAGUUGCGUGCCAAGGUGGAGGACGUGAGCCAGAGGAAUGCAUGCUACCGCCUCAUCGACGGUGCGUCCAAAGCUCCCGACCUCUCCAUCAACACCGGCGCUGCUGAUGCCAUGCUCGGCGUUGAUGAAGCAACAAGACAUGCCAUGAAUCAGCAUGGAUCAAGACCAGUGAUAGAUCUCGCCCAGCUGAUCGUCAGGGAUGUCCCGGGCUCGGGCUCGGGCUCGGGCUCUGGCCAAAUUGGAGUGAUCGGAGUGUGGGGAACAAGUGGCACCGCUGGGCAUACCUCCAUCAUCCUGGAGGCCUAUGACAAUCCAGCCAUAAAAGUGCAAUUUCCAUGCCGCGCGUGGGUCAGAGUGACGCGGCCUUUCCAACCCCAAGAGUUUGUCCAAAGUAUGGUGGAGCAGUUUCAAGAAACUUUUGUAGAGGUGGCUGAUUCUCCUUUGGAGCUGGAGCUGGAGGAGGCAAAGCCGGGUCGAGAGUUGGCACGCCAAGACGGCGUGUACAUCAUCAACAAGAGGUACCUCAUUGUGCUUACGGACCUAUCCACCAUGGAAGAGUGGCAGCAGAUCAAGGCUUGCUUCCCUGAAAACAAAAUGGGGAGCCAAAUCGUAGUGUCUGCGGAGCGAGUUGAAGUUGCAAGCUUGUGUCCAGGCCAGAAAAGUAUGGUUUCCAAGCUGAAGAAAUUGUCUGCUGAGCAGACCAUCUAUGCUUUCCACCAGCAGAGCUUUCAAGACACAACAUAUUCAUCAAAGGCAACGUCGAGCUUAGUGUUACACCACACCAUUGAGAAUGAGAUACAAAAAGGCCAAUCUUAUUCUGAAGAUGAUGACAUGACAAUGAUCCAAGAGAGCCUCACACACACCAGUAAUGUGCUAGGUCCUGUAGAAGAAUUUCAGCUUAUUGGGCGGGAGAAAGAAAUAUCUGAUAUUAUUGAAUUGAUUCUAGAACACUCUGGCACCCAACAACAAAAUCAGGUCAUUGCAGUGUGGGGAAAGGGUGGUGUUGGGAAAAGCACUCUGAUCAAUGAUAUUUACCGUAGCCAAGAGGUCAAUCAAAUGUUUGAAAAGCAUGCCUAUGUCACAGUCUUGCAACCUUUCAAGCUUGAGAGGCUCAUUAGCAGCUUAGCAUUUCAACUAGAUGCAAGGAAAGUUGCUUCAACGAAAGUUGCAGACUUUACUAGAGUGUUGGACCGGUGUUUACAAGAAAAGAGUUGCUUGAUUGUUCUUGAUGACCUCUCGUCUACCAUGGAAUGGGAUAUAAUAUUGCCAUGUUUGCUGGCAAUGAAUAGUCCAAGCUUGGUUAUUCUGAUAACCACAAGGCAUGAGGAUAUUGCUAAGCAUUGUUGCAAAAACACAAAGUGCAUACGCUUGCUCAAUGGUCUAAAUGAAAAGGGUGCUUGUGACCUCUUCACAGAAAAGGUAUUUAAGGAUAAAGCCACAGAUUUGACUAAGCAUUAUCCUGAAUUGGUUGAACCCGCAAAUCUGAUCCUAAAGAAGUGCAAUGGACUUCCCCUUGCGAUACUCACCAUAGGUGGAUUUUUGGCGGCACAACCAACAAAAACUGUCGGGGAGUGGAUGAAACUGGAUCGAUGUAUCAGUCUGGAGAGGGAGAUGAAUCCAAAGUUUGAGGGUGUAAAAACAGUGCUUCUGAAAAGUUAUGAUGGCCUACCCUAUUACCUCAAGUCCUGCAUCUUGUACUUAUCCAUCUUCCUUGAAGAUCACAUAGUUAGCCGGAGACGUUUGGUGUGCCGAUGGGUUGCAGAAGGUUACUCAGAGGAUACAUCCACGGCCAAAAGAUACUUCAUGGAACUUCUAGAGAGAAGCAUGAUAUUACCAACUCAGAUUUCACUUUGCAGCAUACAAGGAACUAACUCAUGUCAAGUACAUGAUCCGAUCCGUGAUAUCAUCAUAGAAAAGUCAAUGCAGGAAAAUCUUGUUUUCAGGCUGGAGGAAGGAUGCAACUCAAACAACCAAGGCACAUUCCGUCACCUUGCCAUAAGCAGUAAUUGGGAUGGAGACAAAGGUCAGUUUGAGGCCACCAUGAAGUUGUCAUGUAUACGGUCAUUGACGGUGUUUGGCGAGUGGAGGCCAUUUUAUAUUUCUGACAAGAUGAGAUUUCUUCGUGUGUUGGACCUCGAAGGAACUGAAGAUCUAGCCGAUCAUCACCUUGAGCACAUUGGGAAUCAUCUUCAUCUGAGAUACCUUUCUCUAAGAGGGUGUGAAGGGAUAUAUUACCUGCCAGAUUCAGUGGGUAACCUGCGACAACUUGAGACACUAGACAUCAAAAAUACAAGAAUAACAAGGUUGCCAAGAACCAUCGCCAAGCUUAGCAAGCUAUGUCAACUGAAAGCUGGCAAUGAAUUCUAUAUCGGAGAAGAACGACCAUCACUAGCAUGUUGUGUACCUUUCGCUUCUUGUUGCGCGAUGGUCAUACAAGCUUAUGCUGUUAAGGUGCCAGUAGGGAUCGGGGAACUGAAAUCCCUGAACACACUGCGAUGUGUGCACCUUGAAUGGGAAAAUGCCAUCAUACAAGAGAUAGGAGGUCUCACCAACCUCCGCAAGUUAGGAGUGUUUGGCAUUGACAGGGGUAAUGGCCCGGAGUUUUGUUCAGCCAUUUCAGGUCUUGGCCGCCUUGAAUCUUUGUCAGUGCGGUCAGAGGUAUGGGAUUUAUGUGACAUCUUGAAUGGCAUGUCCUCGCCUCCAGAAAAUCUCCGGAGCCUCAAGCUUCUCGGUUGGAUGGAUGAACUGCCGCAAUGGAUCAAGGUGCUCCAGAAUUUGGUGAAGAUUAAGCUGGAAUCCACCGAGGUGUCUAUUAACGAUGAAGACAUGCGAAUCCUUGGGAACCUACCAAACCUAUCCAUUCUGUCUAUCAUGGAGAAAUCGUUCCAGAGUGCACUACCUAUCACUUUCCAUAGUGGCCUUUUCAGAAGCCUCGUGAGGCUCGAGCUUGUUUACAUGGACGUGGAGGUCGGAUCGUUGGAGUUUGAGGCAUCAUCGAUGCCCAAACUCGAGGUGCUGAACCUGCGACUUAUCGAUUGUGAAAUCAGCUUUUCUGGACUGGAAUUUAUCCCGAGCAUCAAGGAAGUGCGGCUCUUGGUCGUCGUUACCCCAACACUCAUCGCACGAAAGGAAAAUAUGACCGAAGAAGAAGCAGAAGAGGAGGCAAGACACAGGGAAGACAAAGUCAAGGCAGACAUGAGGAAGCAGCUCGCCAACAAUGAAAACUGCCCCAUUAUGAACGAGCUAGGUCCACAAAUUGUUUUCUGA